RNAcentral lists this ribosomal RNA (448 nucleotides) under uncultured bacterium. Its description in RNAcentral is "bacterial SSU rRNA". It matches the Rfam family "Bacterial small subunit ribosomal RNA", at positions 355 to 825 of the family's 1533-position model. The record is from RNAcentral.
UGGGGAAUAUUGGACAAUGGGCGAAAGCCUGAUCCAGCCAUGCCGCGUGAGUGACGAAGGCCUUAGGGUUGUAAAACUCUUUCGUCGGGGACGAUAAUGACGGUACCCGAAGAAUAAGCACCGGCUAACUACGUGCCAGCAGCCGCGGUAAUACGUAGGGUGCAAGCGUUAAUCGGAAUUACUGGGCGUAAAGCGUGCGCAGGCGGUUAUAUAAGACAGAUGUGAAAUCCCCGGGCUCAACCUGGGAACUGCAUUUGUGACUGUAUAGCUAGAGUACGGUAGAGGGGGGAUGGAAUUCUUGGUGUAGCGGUGAAAUGCGUAGAUAUCAAGAGGAACACCUGAGGUGAAGACGGGUUGCUGGGCUGACACUGACGCUGAGGCGCGAAAGCCAGGGGAGCAAACGGGAUUAGAUACCCCUGUAGUCCCUGAGCGGGCUGGCAAGGCGCAU